This 253-nucleotide ribosomal RNA is filed under the name uncultured bacterium. Its description in RNAcentral is "partial 16S ribosomal RNA". It matches the Rfam family "Bacterial small subunit ribosomal RNA", at positions 524 to 776 of the family's 1533-position model. The record is from RNAcentral.
UACGGAGGAUCCGAGCGUUAUCCGGAUUUAUUGGGUUUAAAGGGAGCGUAGGCGGGUUGUUAAGUCAGUUGUGAAAGUUUGCGGCUCAACCGUAAAAUUGCAGUUGAUACUGGCAUCCUUGAGUACAGUAGAGGUAGGCGGAAUUCGUGGUGUAGCGGUGAAAUGCUUAGAUAUCACGAAGAACUCCGAUUGCGAAGGCAGCCUGCUGGUCUGUAACUGACGCUGAUGCUCGAAAGUGUGGGUAUCAAACAGG